GCAAAUCUGGAAGCGGAUCGCGUGGAGUGACGGUCACACCGCGGCGGAUUAAUUUCCAAAGAUUCAUGUUACAUGAGGAAGCCGCCAAGAAGACCAAAGAAAAGGAGACAAGGAUGGCUCUUCCUCAGGUAUGCUUGACUUUCAGGGAUGUGGCUAUAGAAUUCUCUUUGGAGGAGUGGAAAUGCCUGAACCCUGCGCAGAGGGCUUUAUACAGGGCCGUGAUGUUGGAGAACUACAGGAAUCUGGAGUCUGUGGGAUUGACUUCUAAGGAUUCUUGGUACAUGAGGAAGAAACCUGGAAGGAGAAGAGGAAAGCAAAGGCAUCAGGAAUGGCUCUUCCUCAGGGUCUGUUGACAUUCAGGGAUGUGGCCAUAGAAUUCUCUCAGGAGGAGUGGAAAUGCCUGGACCCUGCUCAGAGGACUCUAUACAGAGAUGUGAUGCUGGAGAAUUAUAGGAACCUGGUCUCCCUGGAUGUUCUGCAUUCUUCAUGAUAGCUCAGUGGGGGUUCCAGAAGUAAAGUAGGCUUAAAACCUUAUGGCUGGCAAGGUAUG
RNAcentral lists this small RNA (550 nucleotides) under Pongo abelii (Sumatran orangutan). RNAcentral describes it as "processed transcript". The record is from RNAcentral. Lineage: Eukaryota; Metazoa; Chordata; Mammalia; Primates; Hominidae.